This is a long non-coding RNA of Brassica rapa (field mustard), 460 nucleotides long. RefSeq lists it as uncharacterized. NCBI's taxonomy places the organism in Eukaryota, Viridiplantae, Streptophyta, Magnoliopsida, Brassicales, Brassicaceae. The record is from RefSeq and is a predicted model, not a curated record.
CCGAAGUUGCUUGCUUCCCAAGAAUGUCCAGGCUUUACUCUGUACUCGUAACUGGUUGCGAGGAUUUGCAGAGUAUGAAGGUACAAUAGAAGAUGUUGAUGAUAUGUGCAACGAAGAUGCUAUGAAGACUACAAGUACUUCUGGAGUCGAGGGUUCAAGAUCAGAAGAUUCAAAUGUACGUUGAACAUUUGAGAACAAUUGUGUUCAGCCACUCUCAAACUGGUGGUAAAGCUAGGCUCACUGAGGGUUGCUCUUUCAGGAAAAAGUGAAAUCAUCAUCUUAUCUUUUCACAAAAUGUUGCUGUGAUAUUCAGUUUGGUUUUCUUUGCCUUGUUAGUUAUUGUUAUUUUCUUGUGACUGUUUUUUAUGUUUCUUAAAAGAUUCUGAAAACAUGAAACUACUAGUUGAGUUAUUAAUCCUAUGCUUUUAUUUUAGUUUAUAUAAAUCUCAGGCUGUUUAAA